This 730-nucleotide long non-coding RNA is filed under the name Homo sapiens (human). Its description in RNAcentral is "HSALNT0350458". The record is from RNAcentral. Lineage: Eukaryota; Metazoa; Chordata; Mammalia; Primates; Hominidae.
AAACAUAUGACUGACUGAAUUUGGCCUAUGGGCUAUAGUUUGCCACCCCCAAUCUAAAGCCUAUAGCUAUAAGGUCCUUUAUCAAACUUCAGAUAGAUCUGAAAGUGUGCCACAUAGACCCUGUCUACUAGACAGACAGGUUUCUAAGGCUCUUGAAACCAUUGUUCCACAGCAUACUGAGUUUCAGGUAAGCCAUAGAGAGGUCUAUCACAAGGAAAUCACUGGGCAUGGAUUUUGUCCAAUAGAGUUAAUCUCAACAAGAUUAAAAGAAAGACUACAGUUUUUUGAAUAUUGUAUUGGUGAAAGCAUGAUCAGCUUGGACUGAAGGGGACAGAAAAGGUUCACCAUUAAACAAAACAAAAUACCACAAAAUAUUCAGAACCUCGGAACUUCUAUUGGCAGGAUAUAAUGUGUGGCGUUGCAAUGUUUGUAUCUCAGGAAGAAAACAUCCCAUCCAGUCCACAAAUAGCUAUCACAUUGAAACAAGCCAAAGAGUCAUCGUGAUCAUAGCUAUCAAAAGAAGUAUUAAAAGGAUAGUAUGGAAUUCAACCCAGCAUGACCACAGAAGUGGGACGCUCAGUCAGCCACGCCUGUAUUGUGUUCAACCACGUGAGCUAAGAGCUCUAACUACUACGGCCAUAGUUUCAAAUCACCUGUCAUGAUGAGGUGCCAGAUUUCUUUACUUUCUGGUUGAUUCAGAGACAGAAAGUAUUUUCAUUAAAGAUCUUGG